Molecule: ribosomal RNA, 142 nt
Filed under: uncultured eukaryote
Lineage: Eukaryota
Description: partial 18S ribosomal RNA
Rfam family: Eukaryotic small subunit ribosomal RNA
Source: RNAcentral
UGGUGGAGUGAUUUGUCUGGUUAAUUCCGUUAACGAACGAGACCUCGACCUGCUAAAUAGUUGCGCGAGCCCUUCGGGGCUCUGCUGUAACUUCUUAGAGGGACUAUCGGUUCCUAGCCGAUGGAAGUUCGAGGCAAUAACA